RNAcentral lists this ribosomal RNA (502 nucleotides) under uncultured bacterium. Its description in RNAcentral is "partial 16S ribosomal RNA". It matches the Rfam family "Bacterial small subunit ribosomal RNA", at positions 29 to 507 of the family's 1533-position model. The record is from RNAcentral.
AGCGAACGCUGGCGGCGUGCCUAACACAUGCAAGUCGAACGGGAAAGCGAUAAAUCCCUGGUAUUGUGGCGUACGGGUGAGUAACACGUAAGUAAUCUACCCCAGACUAUGGAUUAAUCGGCCGUAAGGCAGGCUAAUACAGGAUAGAGCGACAGAAUCCGUAAUUGGGUUUUCAGGGGAAGGUAGCCUGUAAAGAGGCUUUCGUUGCGGGAUGCGCCUGCGUUACUUCAGUGAGUUGGUGCGGAAAAAGCUUACCAAGGCAAUGACGGGUAGCUGGGCUGGUGAGACGGACAGCCACACUGGGACUGAAACACGGGCCAGACUCCUUCGGGGAGGAGCAAGUGGGAAUCUUGCGCAAAGGGCGGAAAUCUGACGCCACAACGCCGCGUGGGGGGAGGAAGGCUUCGGGGUGGAAAGCUCGGUCUAUUGGGACGAAAAUGCUUGGGGUUCACAGCUCGAGGAACUGACGGUACCACUAAAAGAAGCACCGGCUAACUCCGUG